CCCCUGCGCUGGUACCGGGCGCAGCCUGCAGGCUCCAGGCAGCAUCCGGGGCCUUGGUUCUUGCCGGGAGAAACCGUCCGCAGACCUCAGUGCCAGGAACAUCCUGGACACCCUGUUCCCCAGCUUCCACUUCAUCCUACGUGUAGCAGAGAAGAAAGAGCUGUAUGGGGAGGAAGGACAGUAAAUAUUCGAGGGAUAGAAAAGGAGGUACAAAAAAGAUGGCAUGCUGUGCAGACAUUUACUGCAGACCGAAUGGACAGGAGGCGAGUAGGAGCUUGGCGCAUCUGUGGAACAGAAGGAAAAGCAGCACGGCUGAGUGCGGUCCUCCAGCGGGCAGCGAUGGCGUCUGAGGUCAGAGGACCCCGGUGGUGCGGAGGGAGUAGCUGGCGGUGGUGGAGAAGCAGCGCUGGGGAGCGAGAAGACAGGGGAAGUGCGAAAUGGUUAUUCUGAAGACGAGGAAGGAGAGAGAAGGAUCCUGGAGGCAAACCUGAUCACCCCACCGGGGCUUCCCCUCGCCCUUACGCUCGGCAUCCUCCGUCCGGUCCCCGGGGCCGAGCCUCCUCCGCUCCCCGCCUAGAACCAGACCGGAACCAGGGUGAGGCUCGUAGAAGCUGACGCGCAGGAGCGACGAUCGCCCCUCCCUGCAAAAUGCGAUGAAGCGCAAAGACAGCAGCAAACCACACGACAAAUGCAAAUUCUGGUUUUUCACACAGUGACCACUUCGAUGCUUUAAAAAGAAACGAUCGCAAAUAUAAUUCUUAAAAAAAAGAAAAAUGUUUUCUCUGGGAUGGCCUUGUGUUGCCGGCACCUGCAUCACUUCCCCGCGAAGCCUCCCUCAGCUCCUUGCCCGUGGACGGGCGCCCGGUUCCGAGGGCUGGCAGCACCGGCCACAUGGUGAUUAAAUAACGAUACAGUCCUCUGUUUCCCGUCAGCAUCUCGUGGCGCUUGUGCCUGGGGAGGACAGAAAUGGCCUAUCUCGCUUACUCUGUCCCCAGCGCCCAGCACAACCAGGCAGUGACGAAAGCCCACCCGUAGGUGCUGUUGCAACUGAACCGCCCGGGGCACAUGCCCCGAGCCGAGGGACCUUGUCUCACAUAGCACGCGCUCACCAAACAUCUGACACAGAAAUGAGUGCGCCAGCGCCUCCCCCUUGGCUCACACGGCGAGUCGUGCAGAACCGUGAGAAAGGAAUGACAUAAUCCUGUGUGUGCUUUCAGUUGACUCCAAGCGAAAAUCUUAAUCUCCCCAGAAUUUAAUAGUUUUCGAGUCUCGGUAGGCAUAUGAAAUUCGGGGAAGCCACGCGCUUUGAGUUUUCACCACAGUUCAAAUCACUGUGCUCCGCGUAAGAUGGAAUUUGUAUUUCUUGAUCAGUAUGUGGCCUCAGGCUCUCAAAAGAAAAACACAGUGUUUCACACUGAAGACACCAUAACUCCACAUCUGAGCGGAACUGUUCCUCUCCUCUCCGGAGGAAGUCUUUGAAAAGAAGUCAUUGAAAUUAGUGACCUCGCAGAUAAACAAAGCUACCCUAGACUUAACCCUCAUUACCGGGCGCAUGAGGCGUGCACCCCCUGUUGUCUGGGAAGCCUCCCAGGACGUGACUGUCCUUCCAGCUGCGAGUCCCCCCAGGCGCAGGCCCUUCUCCAGCUGCAAAACCGUGUCCUCUGCCGACCCACUCCAGCGUCGAGACACGGCCUCCGGGACAUGUUGAAGGAGUAAAUUACCGGGGACUUCAGCGCGCUCUUUAACCACCACUUGCUUGCGAGAGGCUGACAGUUGUGAGCUGGUGCACUUCCGAGUGACCUUGUCAGAUGUUCCGGCAUGACAGCGGAGGAAGAUCUA
This is a long non-coding RNA of Microcebus murinus (gray mouse lemur), 1839 nucleotides long. RefSeq lists it as uncharacterized. Lineage: Eukaryota; Metazoa; Chordata; Mammalia; Primates; Cheirogaleidae. The record is from RefSeq and is a predicted model, not a curated record.